AGAGAGCUUUUGCACAGCCCUAAUAUGUGUGCGGCACUGUGUGUGAAUACGCAGGCAAAGUGGUGAAAGGAGAUUAUAUGUAGUUUAAAACACAGAAUCCCCAUUUCAUAAAAGCGCAAGGUGGGUUCAUGUCACUUUCUUUCUCAAGUAUAUCUUAUUUAAUUUGAAUGGGUCUGCCUCCUCCCCCCAAACAAACAAACAAACAAACAAACAAAAAACCCAACCCAGUAAUAUAUUCAAUAAUAGCAUACUAGGAUUCACAGUAAAUUUGGGACCCACCCCAUUUAAAGAUGUCCACUCACCAUUGUCAUUUAAAGUUACAUUAUUUAAUCAGUGGGACAGUGAUGUUUGUUUGGUCAGGACAUGCAUGACCAGAGCUAGCUUGUAUGGGUCUGUAUGCCAUAGACCAUGGCUGGAACCUGAGUGAUCUUGCCUCGGUGCCGCUCUCUGAAGAGCCUGGCCAAAAUAACCUAAAGAAACAGAAAUCUCCAUAAAGAGAAUUCUCCAAAAUACUGUUCUGUUUUUCACAUUUAUUAUUUUGGAAUUUUAACUUUUUUUUUUCUUUGACGACAUGCAUUCUGGCUCACAUUACAUAUGAACGAUAAAGGAGAAAUUCAGCUAUUAUAUGAUAAUAGUUUUGCACAUAGUGUGUUUCUCAUAGAAAAUGAAUUAGGCUGUUGAUUUCAUGGGACAGACUAAAAGGUGAACAUUUUCACAGGAGGAAAAACACAAGCCACUUCUUAUUUCAAAGCUGGGUGUCCUCUGUUGCACUGGUGCCUGGCGGCCGUGUCACCACCUGUUUUCCUUGGCAUCUGCUUGGAACAGAGCAGUGAGGUCCCUGGAAGUCAGAGCACUCACUGGGGUUCGUGCCAGAGCAGAGUGCCAUGCAUAUCUCAAGACGCCCCCUCGGCCCAGGAUCUGACUUUAUUCUGGAACUUUGGUACAAGGGCUCCUGGCAGCUUCCAGAAAACCGGCACUUAAGAUCAGCCUCUGCUCUGUGCUGGAUCUCUGCCACCCUCCCUCUGUUUCUGUAAUUACCUCUACAUUUAACCUGCAGCCAUCAAUGGCAACGCCUGCGAGUACAGGGUAAUAUUUCCCCUCCUUUAUUGGAUCAGUCCAUCUGCCAGCCUACCCCGCAUUUUUAACAAGUGCAGCCCUGGAGUCGAAAACUUUUUUUUUAACUGACCCUAGCUUCUAUGUGAAGCCUCUGGCUUUCUCUAUUCUACAGUUUGCUGAGGUAUUUUUCUGCUUUCCUGCAGUUUUUAAGGAGAUAAUAAGUUCCAAAAUUCACCAGCCUUUCGCUGAAAGAAGCUUCUCACGGUGGUUGGUAGCUAAUGAAGGCCCCUUUAGUUUAUCUUCGUCAAUUGUCAAAUAUUUGAGUCCGUGAAGUGGUGUGAUGCGGUACAAAGACAGGUAUUUGAAGGGAUCUUAACUCAUUUGAGCAAUUACAUGCUUAACUGCCCU
RNAcentral lists this long non-coding RNA (1464 nucleotides) under Mus musculus (house mouse). RNAcentral describes it as "long non-coding RNA chr7:69948899-69950363". The record is from RNAcentral. Lineage: Eukaryota; Metazoa; Chordata; Mammalia; Rodentia; Muridae.